Molecule: long non-coding RNA, 431 nt
Organism: Triticum dicoccoides
Lineage: Eukaryota; Viridiplantae; Streptophyta; Magnoliopsida; Poales; Poaceae
Exons: 4
Source: RefSeq, a predicted model, not a curated record
UAAAUAUCUGGAUGCGUUUUCUUGAAUACAGGUUCGAUCUUUGAUUAUCUGCAUAGUAUAUCUAACCACUCUGACUUUCCUUUAUUAUUAAGAUGCAUCAAAUCGCAAUCCCCUCCGAGAGGAAGGGCCAACUCAAGUAGCAUCCAUGUACGAGAAUCUCUGUAAUGUAGUUAUGUGAACUAGAGGUGUGGUUUAGCAAUGUACCUCAUACACGGCUGGUUGAUGAUAAAGAUAUCUCAGAGAUGGAGGACCUCGUAACCGACCAUGUUGGGAGCUUGUGAAGAAAUAGUAUGUUGCUGUAUGGAGGAAUCCUUUAAAUAACUCUUGCUACAUGAGUCAGUGAUCCUGAGGCAAACCUCCACUUUGUGAUAGUGAUGAUAAUUCCAGAUAAUGUUUGAUGCAACCUUCAACUAUAGAGGUUUCAGUUUCCU